Weissella cibaria is the source of this 132-nucleotide non-coding RNA. The record is from Rfam. NCBI's taxonomy places the organism in Bacteria, Bacillati, Bacillota, Bacilli, Lactobacillales, Lactobacillaceae.
UAAUAUCUUCAGGGCAGGGUGAAAUUCCCGACCGGCGGUAAGCUGCAACGCAGUAAGUCCGCGACCCGCGAAUGCGGUUGACAUGGUGUGAUUCCAUGACCGACAGUAAAGUCUGGUAUGCAGAAGAACUUA